GAUGAACGCUGGCGGCGUGCCUAAUACAUGCAAGUCGAGCGAACGGACGAGAAGCUUGCUUCUCUGAUGUUAGCGGCGGACGGGUGAGUAACACGUGGAUAACCUACCUAUAAGACUGGGAUAACUUCGGGAAACCGUAGCUAAUACCGGAUAAUAUUUUGAACCGCAUGGUUCAAAAGUGAAAGACGGUCUUGCUGUCACUUAUAGAUGGAUCCGCGCUGCAUUAGCUAGUUGGUAAGGUAACGGCUUACCAGGGCAACGAUGCAUAGCCGACCUGAGAGGGUGAUCGGCCACACUGGAACUGAGACACGGUCCAGGCUCCUACGGGAGGCAGCAGUAGGGAAUCUUCCGCAAUGGGCGAAAGCCUGACGGAGCAACGCCGCGUGAGUGAUGAAGGUCUUCGGAUCGUAAAACUCUGUUAUUAGGGAAGAACAUAUGUGUAAGUAACUGUGCACAUCUUGACGGUACCUAAUCAGAAAGCCACGGCUAACUACGUG
RNAcentral lists this ribosomal RNA (497 nucleotides) under uncultured bacterium. RNAcentral describes it as "partial 16S ribosomal RNA". It matches the Rfam family "Bacterial small subunit ribosomal RNA", at positions 28 to 507 of the family's 1533-position model. The record is from RNAcentral.